UACGUAGGGCGCAAGCGUUGUCCGGAAUUAUUGGGCGUAAAGAGCUCGUAGGCGGUCUGUCGCGUCUGGUGUGAAAUCCCAUGGCUCAACUGUGGGCUUGCAUCGGGUACGGGCAGACUAGAGUGCUGUAGGGGAGACUGGAAUUCCUGGUGUAGCGGUGGAAUGCGCAGAUAUCAGGAGGAACACCGAUGGCGAAGGCAGGUCUCUGGGCAGUUACUGACGCUGAGGAGCGAAAGCAUGGGGAGCGAACAGGA
This 254-nucleotide ribosomal RNA is filed under the name uncultured prokaryote. RNAcentral's name for it is "partial 16S ribosomal RNA". It matches the Rfam family "Bacterial small subunit ribosomal RNA", at positions 524 to 777 of the family's 1533-position model. The record is from RNAcentral.